UUAACUCUCUUCCUCUCUUCUCCAAAAUCUGCCGCACCUCCCAAUCUCUCUUCUCGAUUUUCUUCUCCGGCCAGCGCAGUCGGCGAACCACUGGAGGUAGCCGCCUCUCUCUCCAGUCGUCUUUCCCCUUCGCCUUCUCUUCUUCCCCCCGUCUCCUCUUUCUCCUCGUCUGUCCAGCGGCCAGCGAGGACGAGCAGCCAGCAGCCGCCUGGACAACAACAACAAAGACAUUGUUGUUCAGGCCAGUGACCGGCUAACAUCGGCGCCUCCAGCCGGCGAAGCCCCUUCGCCUCUUCUCUUCUCUUUCCGGCGAGGAUGAGCGACAACAACGAGGCAGCAGUAGCCGCCGGCAAACGACACCAACAGUGCUCCGAUAAACAGCCGGUGGGAACCAGCCGAUUAGCGAAACUCUUUGUCCCUCUCCUCCCUUUCUUGGGGAAGUCCGGCAACUGGUGAAGCCACCAGCGAAAGAGCAGUAGCAGCCGGCGACAACCAGCAGCUCUGGACUAGCGAAAAAAGCUCCUGGCAGUGGCUACGAAAUCAACAACAACGAUAAGAUGCUCACUACAAGGUUCCGACCAAGGACCAAAAUGGAAAAAAAGUGACCGGUACAUCUUUCUUUUAUCAAGCUCAAGUCUUUAUGCAUGUUGGUAUGAAAAUGCGAUCUGUAGGUUGUUUGCCUCAAUGUUUAUUUUAAGAAUCUCGAACUCUAAUGUGUGGUUGCUUGUUUUAUAUUGUUUCUUCUGCUCAAGUUCAUGUGCAACUAGUUGAACAUUAUACUUAGAAUAUUAUAUGUCAAUUCAUGAUUUCUUAAGAGAAAAGGUUAUGAUUUUCUGCUCAAAUUCAUAUUGCUAUCUGCUUGUGGUCAAGUUAUGAAGUCUGUUGAUAAGUUUGAACUCUUAACCGGUGGGUUUCAUAUUUCUUUGUUUAUAUAUGAGAGAACUUAUUUUGUGAAUUUCCUUGACUGGUUUCUUCCUUAUAAAUCAUUGUUUUGGCCAUAAUUAAUCAAGGACCGUAUUAUUUUCCCUAAAAUAAUUAUUUGAUUUUCCUUAAUUAUCGAGAUAUUGCUCUUAGUCAAUUAAUGCCUUAAUAUUGUGUGUAAACAGGUCAAUCUGAUAUUAUUUUUUUCUCAUAUUUGGCUAAGUUAGCAUCUUGACUAAUUUCUUAAUUUGCUAAAAUAAUUAUAAACUUGUUCAAGGCUUUCUCUUGCUCUGAGGACGAGAUUUAGUCUUCCAUAAAUUGUUGUUGUCUAUGCUUAAUUUACUGGAAUCCUCUCUUUGCCUACGGUAAGACAUUAAUUAGUAAAUAAAGCAUGUGAGUUUUAAUUCUUGUGAUGGUUAUUUCUUUCCUUUUAAACUUAUUUUUGCUGAUUUUAAAUUAAUACCUCCUUGCCUUAUUUAUUUGUAGACAAAUUCGUACUUGUUCUAUUCUUGGUAAAAUUUUGACCGAAUCACGAGGCAUUAGUAAUUAUCUUUUUAGUCUUUAUUUUUGGUAGCUAAAAUUUUAAUUUGUUUCCUUUCCUUAUACUUGCGGACUGAUUUUGGCCUCCUUUUAAAUAAGGAAAAUUGUUUUUUAAUUGGUGGAAUUAUAUUCUUUUCCUUCUAUGCCAGUCCAUUCUUGGACUAUAUAAAGAUAGACCCUCAUUCUUAUUUAGAUACGCUUCAACACUUUGAACCAAAAAAAAGUAGUACUCUCUACUCUAAAAGAAGUCCGGUGAACAUUCUAAGAGGUGCUUUCUUUAUUCGGUUUUGCGGUGUUCGUGUCGAUAAUUGGAUUAAGCUUGUCUUCAUUGUUGUUUAAUUAAACUGCUUAAACGGUUAGUGAUUUUAUGUAUUUUAACUUUCUGUUUGCAGCAAUGUUAUUUACUUUUAUUCACAAGUUAAGUGUAUGAAUAAAAUAAAAAGGAAGCAUCCGAGUCAGUUCUCUUCUCCUUUUCUAUAUGUGUGAUUGUAUGUGCGUAAUAUGUUGCUUGAAUUAUUGUGUGUAUGCCCUAUUCUGCCUGGGUACAUUAAAAUAUAUAUUAUUAUGUGUGCUUUGUAUUAUACUUGUGUUGUAUUGAUUUCUUCCGUUUAGCAGGGUGUGUAACAUUGAGUUCUAGUUUGAAGAGUUGCCAGGGAUGGAAUUCCGGACGGGAUUUAGUUCUAUUUACAUUCGUAUUUGUCAUAUUUGUAUAAUUUUUAUUCAGUCAUGUAAUAGUUGUAUUAGCUCUUCUAACUCUCCAUAGAUAUAUAUGAAAUAUUUGUGGGAUCCUCUAAGGGGGAGAGGUUAUAUGUGCUAACUGCUUUUCUUUAUUCAUUUAAUUAUGUGCGGAUGCAUCUAAGAUUAAUUGAUCUUUUGAAUAUAAUUAUCUUGUUUCUAAAUCUAAUAACUUAAUUUCUUCGACC
RNAcentral lists this long non-coding RNA (2384 nucleotides) under Solanum tuberosum (potato). RNAcentral describes it as "long non-coding RNA (STUB_LNC009065)". Lineage: Eukaryota; Viridiplantae; Streptophyta; Magnoliopsida; Solanales; Solanaceae. The record is from RNAcentral.